UUGCUGGUUCCGUCUCAGCACAGCCUGGCUGCAGCUGGGACAGCAGAAAAUGCAAGAGUUUAGGAUGGGAGGGCAUGAGCUGCAGGGUCUCUGGUCUUUGUGACCCAAGUCCAUCCUGGAUUGUACAUAAAAAUCACAUCUUGCUCUCUAAGCUAAUUUUUUUGUAUACGUAUUUUUGUAUCUAAAAUUUUUAGCAAUUAAAGCAAAAAGUUUUAUUCUGCUUUUUGUUUUAUAAAUACUGACUGUUUUUAACCAUUUCUCUCUCCUCUUUAAUUAUUUUUUUUCCCUCUUCAAAUAUAUCUAGGAGACUGUCCUUUUUUAUAGGGAUGAGGAUGUCUUAUUUCUCUGGAGGAACCAAAGGGUGUAGGAAGUCCUGCUAGCUCUUGGGGCACAGUUGCUCGGUGGAAGGAAGACCAGAGCCCUGACGGGAUGAAAAGCAGCCAGGAGCCAUGAGAAGGAGCUGUGCCCUGGCUUCGCUCUGUCAAAAAGCAGAAGAGGCCAUGACACGUGACCUCCCCAAGGAGUCUUCCAGAAGAAUACCUGUGAUCAGCUGGAUGUUGUGUUGUGUUUCAAAGAUGAUGUUUCCUCCUGUCUCCCUGUUCCUGGUGCAUACAUAUACACACAUGCAGAGAGCGACUCACUUGCACACCUGCACACAGAAGAUUUUUCAGAAGAUACAAAUUUCGCCGUAGAACAUAAAUGAACUCUCUUUCAAAGGUGGAUCCCACUGAGCUGGGGGAAAGGGGCUCAGCCCUUCCCCAAACCAGUGCCUGACUUUGAAGGUGGGGACAGGCAGAUCUCUGGAGUGCCCCCCUCCUCAGGAGCCAGGGAUCCCAUCAGGAGGAGGAGGAGGACGAAGAGGAGAGGCACAGAAACGCUCUGGAGAGUCUCAGGGAAGGUCCUUGCAGGUAUUUGCUGGAGUGGCUCGACAUAGAUUUAAGUGUCAAGCAACACGUCAAUGGCUCCCGUGCUAGCUCAGCCCCACAGCAGUUGAUACUGCAUCCAGCUGAACAGCCGCACUAAGCCCAUGCCAUUCACUGCAGCUGUUUUCUGCUCUACGAGCUAAUUAAUUAGUUUCUGCAAAGUCCUUUGAAGGGGUAAAGCGCAGCAUUAUCCAGAGGGUGUGGGCUUCAAAGCUUAAUGGGCGCUACUUGGAUAUGAACAGAGGUAGUAAACUUGGUUCAUAAUUUCUUUAAAACAUAAAAGAGCAGGGAAAGCAUCUGAAAAAAAACCCCCAUCAGUCAUUUUGGUAGUGCUGAGCCUGAGGAAGAGUCACUAAAAGCAGCUAGCUCCCCAGUGGAUGAGCAACUGACUUCCAGUUCCCCUUGCCUGGCUUUCUACCUCAACUUACUGGCAUAACCAGGAAAAACCUUUCUCCUUCAGUAAUUUUCUAUUUUAGAAGUGAUUCGGUAAAAGCGGGAGAAUAAAAGUGCUGAGAAAUAACAGAAGAAAAGCAGUCCUUUCAGAAAGAUCGGUGGGUAAAUUCAGGUCAGUAGAGAAAGUUCCUGCGGUACCUCUGCGGUAGCUCAGCCUCACUUCUCCCAAAUCCUCAUCAAAUUUUUACGUGGCAGCUAGCCCUUGCGUGGACAUGUGGAGCAAGUCCGGCUCACGGGGAUAAUGGUCAUUCAGGCAUGUUGGGUGAGCAGCGGAGCAAAACAUCGCCUACCGAGAGCACCCGCGUGGGCUGCUCGCCUGGGGGGCAAUUGCGUGGGCUCCUGGACCUCGGCUGUCUUCUGCCAUUGCAUACAGUGCAAGUGUUAAAAGGAUGAUAACUAAAGGCUCCUGCCAAUAUAUGGAAUAUCCUUUUAAAUUGUUUCACCAGUGUUCACAGCUUCAUGUCUUUCCUGCAUGAGUUGGGAUUUGAAGAUGUAUUUGCUUCCAGUUCUAUUGAAUUAAUUGAUGUAUUUGACUGUUCUUUUGCCUUUUUUUUUUUAAACUCAGGAAAUACAUUCUUCUAUUGUGCUGUUUUUCGGGGCGACUUCUGUUAUUUCCUUUCAUGUUUACCACGCUGAUGGAAAUCUGGUUUUGGCUUUAGUAGUAGAUUUUCACUAGAAUGAAUGCUGCGCUUUAUAGAUAACCUUCAAUUGUUCCACAGUAAUAAAAGAUUAUUAAAAGGACAUGGUUCUGCAGAAUGACGUACUGCUCUUCUUGCUGUCCAGGAAAGGAAUUUGCAACAGAUUUUUUUCCUAUGACUCUUCUGGCAAUUGUUUUUCUUUUCUGACAAUCUUUACGUGCUACCCUUAGUUCUUGUGAUUUGCAAUAAUAUUUUUAAAAUGUGUUUUAAUUCUGAAAUGGCACCUUGAAUUGAGGAUAAAUCAUAGCAUGCCUGUGAGAAAAAUAACCAACUGAUAUGGAUGACAGUUACAUUUAUUUGUGCUUUCUACUGUAAACAGGUUUUGGGGGGUGUGAGUCUGUUCAUUAUGUAUUAAUUGAAUGAACUGAGAGGUAACAAAAUGCUCACCCAGAGAUGUUUCUUUGAGAAAAGCUUCACGAGUCUGCAGUGAACAUCCCCAACCCGUAACAGGUGAAACGCAGUUUCAGAAACAGUCACAGGCACUUGUGAAACCUGGGUGAUUAAAUUCAGCCACUUCAGCUUGGUCCAAAGUCCACGGAAAGACUCGGGAUUCUUGUUCUUCCAAACUUUAAGUAGAAGAUAUUCAGCAUAACUGCAGUCAUCCCUACUCCUAAUAUUUCCUCCCCAAAGCUUUUUCCCUGAAACACUUUGUCAGGGACUAGGAACCCGGGCUCUGGUCUGUGAAUCACACCAGUGCAUGCCCGUGCCCAAUUAAAACAUAAACCGGAUGUGGUUUAUGUUCUUUCCUCUUCGUAUAUUUGUCAAGGCAGCUGGCAAGAAGACUCAGGUUAUUUUUUCAGACGGUCCGUGUCGUGCCUGUUGAGAUGGCCAUGUAGGUGUCAGAGGAACACCUCCACCCCAUUGCACGGCAAGGCGGUGAGGUGCCCGAGGUACGGGCGGUUAUUUCUGCCUCUGUGCUCC
Long non-coding RNA from Aquila chrysaetos chrysaetos, 2995 nucleotides. Lineage: Eukaryota; Metazoa; Chordata; Aves; Accipitriformes; Accipitridae. The record is from Ensembl.